GCUGGGUGCAGUAGCAUGCACCUAUAAUCUGAGCUACUCAGAGGCUGAUGCAGGAGGAUCACUUGAGCCCAGGAGUUCAAGGCCAGCCUGAACAAAAGCACCUCAGUCUU
RNAcentral lists this small RNA (110 nucleotides) under Marmota monax (woodchuck). The record is from RNAcentral. Lineage: Eukaryota; Metazoa; Chordata; Mammalia; Rodentia; Sciuridae.